Molecule: small RNA, 132 nt
Filed under: Escherichia coli
Lineage: Bacteria; Pseudomonadati; Pseudomonadota; Gammaproteobacteria; Enterobacterales; Enterobacteriaceae
Description: RtT sRNA
Rfam family: RtT RNA
About the family: This family represents a bacterial cis-regulatory element known as RtT RNA.
Source: RNAcentral
AAUCUGCCCAUGCGGGGAAGGAUGAGAAGCUUCAACCAAGGUUCGACUUGAGCGCCAGCGAGAGAGCGUUGCCGCAGGCAACGACCCGAAGGGCGAAGCGCGCAGCGCUGAGUAAUCCUUCCCCCACCACCA